RNAcentral lists this ribosomal RNA (301 nucleotides) under uncultured bacterium. RNAcentral describes it as "partial 16S ribosomal RNA". It matches the Rfam family "Bacterial small subunit ribosomal RNA", at positions 509 to 807 of the family's 1533-position model. The record is from RNAcentral.
CAGUAGCCACGGUAAUACGUAGGGUGCAAGCGUUAAUCGGAAUUACUGGGCGUAAAGCGUGCGCAGGCGGUUAUGUAAGACAGUUGUGAAAUCCCCGGGCUCAACCUGGGAACUGCAUCUGUGACUGCAUAGCUAGAGUACGGUAGAGGGGGAUGGAAUUCCGCGUAUAGCAGUGAAAUGCGUAGAUAUGCGGAGGAACACCGAUGGCGAAGGCAAUCCCCUGGACCUGUACUGACGCUCAUGCACGAAAGCGUGGGGAGCAAACAGGAUUAGAUACCCCCGUAGUCCCUGUCUCUUAUAC